UACGUAGGGGUCGAGCGUUGUCCGGACUUACUGGGCGUAAAGCGUGCGUAGGUGGUUCGUUAAGUCUGAUGUGAAAGCCCUGGGCUCAACCUGGGAAUGGCAUUGGAAACUGGCGAUCUAGAGUGCGGUAGAGGGCAGUGGAAUUCCCGGUGUAGCAGUGAAAUGCGUAGAGAUCGGGAGGAACAUCUGUGGCGAAGGCGACUGCCUGGACCAGCACUGACACUGAGGCACGAAAGCGUGGGGAGCGAACAGG
RNAcentral lists this ribosomal RNA (253 nucleotides) under uncultured bacterium. Its description in RNAcentral is "partial 16S ribosomal RNA". It matches the Rfam family "Bacterial small subunit ribosomal RNA", at positions 524 to 776 of the family's 1533-position model. The record is from RNAcentral.